GAUGAACGCUAGCUACAGGCUUAACACAUGCAAGUCGAGGGGUAACGAGAGGAAAGCUUGCUUUCCUUGUCGACGACCGGCGCACGGGUGAGUAACGCGUAUCCAACCUGCCCCCAACUAAGGAAUAACCUUGCGAAAGUAAGACUAAUACCUUAUAAUUUCCUCAGAUGUCAUCUGACGAGGAAUAAAGAUUUAUCGGUUGUGGAUGGGGAUGCGUCUGAUUAGCUUGUUGGCGGGGUACCGGCCCAACAAGGCAACGAUCAGUAGGGGUUCUGAGAGGAAGGUCCCCCACAUUGGAACUGAGACACGGUCCAAACUCCUACGGGAGGCAGCAGUGAGGAAUAUUGGUCAAUGGGCGGAAGCCUGAACCAGCCAAGUAGCGUGCAGGAUGACGGCCCUAUGGGUUGUAAACUGCUUUUAUACAGGAAUAAAGUUAGCCACGUGUGGUUAUUUGUAGGUACUGUAUGAAUAAGGACCGGCUAAUUCCGUGCCAGCCGCCGCCGUAA
This 506-nucleotide ribosomal RNA is filed under the name uncultured bacterium. RNAcentral's name for it is "partial 16S ribosomal RNA". It matches the Rfam family "Bacterial small subunit ribosomal RNA", at positions 28 to 523 of the family's 1533-position model. The record is from RNAcentral.